This 253-nucleotide ribosomal RNA is filed under the name uncultured bacterium. RNAcentral's name for it is "partial 16S ribosomal RNA". It matches the Rfam family "Bacterial small subunit ribosomal RNA", at positions 524 to 776 of the family's 1533-position model. The record is from RNAcentral.
UACGUAGGGGGCAAGCGUUGUCCGGAAUCAUUGGGCGUAAAGCGCGUGUAGGCGGCUCGGUAAGUCUGCUGUGAAAGUCCAGGGCUCAACCCUGGGAUGCCGGUGGAUACUGUCGAGCUCGAGUCCGGAAGAGGCGAGUGGAAUUCCUGGUGUAGCGGUGAAAUGCGCAGAUAUCAGGAGGAACACCAAUUGCGAAGGCAGCUCGCUGGGACGUCACUGACGCUGAGACGCGAAAGCGUGGGGAGCAAACAGG